AUUGCUAGGGAGCGGCUGGUGGUUUUAGUUACAGACUUCUUUUGGAUCAAGCUGAAAAGACAAAGAGACUGAUGUUUCCUCAUCAGUUUGGUCAGUAGUGACCUUGUGCAAGCUCUUGGCUGUGGGAAAUUGGUGAAUGAUAGUUAACCCUGAAAUAUGAGAACUUGGCUCACAGAAUUGUGAAGGACAGAAAUAUUAAUGGCAGAAAGCUGAGGUCUAUGACGAGAACUCAGCCUCCAGAUGCACAGAUUACUGCACCUUCCCUUAUGUUACAGAGCAUCGUCUCAUGAGCCCCCUGGCUGGUUUAUCUUCCAAACACUGCCUGAAGGCUGCAACUAUUCACAUCAUCACAAAACCACCUGUAGCAGGAGACAAAAUUGUGGUGUUUGCGUUAAAAUUUUGUGAGAACUGGCAAUACGGAGAAUAUUUGUAGAAAAUGAAUACAGCAGGUACUCAAACGCAAUUAAAAACAAGUUUGUUAAAAAUUCCAAUGAACUUUUGUAGACAUUUCAGCUAGAGGUAGAAGAUUCCAUGCCCCCUUUACUAAAUCUUCUGAACCAUCUGAUCUUCUAACAGCUGUUAACAUACAUGUGUAUGAGCAGUACUAUACUAUAAAAAUAAAGUUUCUAUUGAAUUGC
Molecule: long non-coding RNA, 638 nt
Organism: Chelonia mydas (Green sea turtle)
Lineage: Eukaryota; Metazoa; Chordata; Testudines; Cheloniidae
Exons: 2
Source: RefSeq, a predicted model, not a curated record